UGGGGAAUUUUGGACAAUGGGCGCAAGCCUGAUCCAGCCAUGCCGCGUGCGGGAAGAAGGCCUUCGGGUUGUAAACCGCUUUUGUCAGGGAAGAAAUCUUCUGAGUUAAUACCUCGGGAGGAUGACGGUACCUGAAGAAUAAGCACCGGCUAACUACGUGCCAGCAGCCGCGGUAAUACGUAGGGUGCAAGCGUUAAUCGGAAUUACUGGGCGUAAAGCGUGCGCAGGCGGUUUUNUAAGACAGAGGUGAAAUCCCCGGGCUCAACCUGGGAACUGCCUUUGUGACUGCAAGGCUUGAGUGCGGCAGAGGGGGGCAAUGGAAUUCCGCGUGUAGCAGUGGAAAUUGCGUAGAUAUGCGGAGGAACACCGAUGGCGAAGGCAAUCCCCUGGGCCUGCACUGACGCUCAUGCACG
Molecule: ribosomal RNA, 413 nt
Filed under: uncultured bacterium
Lineage: Bacteria
Description: partial 16S ribosomal RNA
Rfam family: Bacterial small subunit ribosomal RNA
Source: RNAcentral